Molecule: ribosomal RNA, 323 nt
Filed under: uncultured Prevotella sp.
Lineage: Bacteria; Pseudomonadati; Bacteroidota; Bacteroidia; Bacteroidales; Prevotellaceae
Description: bacterial SSU rRNA
Rfam family: Bacterial small subunit ribosomal RNA
Source: RNAcentral
GAUGAACGCUAGCUACAGGCUUAACACAUGCAAGUCGAGGGGCAGCAUGGAGUUUGCUUGCAAACUCUGAUGGCGACCGGCGCACGGGUGAGUAACGCGUAUCCAACCUUCCCCGUAGUAGGGCAUAGCCCGGUAGAAAAUCGGAUUAAUACCCUAUGUUUUCCGAAGCGGGCAUCUAAUUCGGAGCAAAGGUUUACCGCUAGUGGGAGUGGGGAUGCGUCUGAUUAGGUAGUCGGCGGGGUAACGGCCCACCGAGCCAUCGAUCAGUAGCCGACCUGAGAGGGUGAUCGGCCACAUUGGAACUGAGACACGGUCCAAACUCC